AGUGAACGCUGGCGGUAGGCCUAACACAUGCAAGUCGAACGGCAGCACAGUAAGAGCUUGCUCUUACGGGUGGCGAGUGGCGGACGGGUGAGGAAUACAUCGGAAUCUACUUUUUCGUGGGGGAUAACGUAGGGAAACUUACGCUAAUACCGCAUACGACCUACGGGUGAAAGCAGGGGAUCUUCGGACCUUGCGCGAUUGAAUGAGCCGAUGUCGGAUUAGCUAGUUGGCGGGGUAAAGGCCCACCAAGGCGACGAUCCGUAGCUGGGCUGAGAGGAUGAUCAGCCACACUGGAACUGAGACACGGUCCAGACUCCUACGGGAGGCAGCAGUAGGGAAUAUUGGGCAAUGGGCGCAAGCCUGAUGCAGCCAAGCCGCGUGGGUGAAGAAGGCCUUCGGGUCGUAAAGCCCUUUUGUUGGGAAAGAAAAGCAGCAGGUUAAUACCCCGCUGUUCUGACGGUACCCAAAGAAUAAGCACCGGCUAACUUCGUG
This 492-nucleotide ribosomal RNA is filed under the name uncultured bacterium. Its description in RNAcentral is "partial 16S ribosomal RNA". It matches the Rfam family "Bacterial small subunit ribosomal RNA", at positions 29 to 507 of the family's 1533-position model. The record is from RNAcentral.